GCAGCCGCCGCGGUAAUACGAAGGGGGCUAGCGUUGCUCGGAAUCACUGGGCGUAAAGGGUGCGUAGGCGGGUCUUUAAGUCAGGGGUGAAAUCCUGGAGCACAACUCCAGAACUGCCUUUGAUACUGAAGAUCUUGAGUUCGGGAGAGGUGAGUGGAACUGCGAGUGUAGAGGUGAAAUUCGUAGAUAUUCGCAAGAACACCAGUGGCGAAGGCGGCUCACUGGCCCGAUACUGACGCUGAGGCACGAAAGCGUGGGGAGCAAACAGGAUUAGAUACCCCUGUAGUCCCUGUCUCUUAUAC
This 302-nucleotide ribosomal RNA is filed under the name uncultured bacterium. RNAcentral describes it as "partial 16S ribosomal RNA". It matches the Rfam family "Bacterial small subunit ribosomal RNA", at positions 508 to 807 of the family's 1533-position model. The record is from RNAcentral.